AAUUUUGCGCAGUGGCAGUAUCAUAGCCAAUGAGGUUUAUCCGAGGCGCGAUUAUUGCUAAUUGAAAAACAGAUUAAUAAAAAAUAUCAUAACUUUGCCAUACAUAAUAAAAACUGGUGACAUAAGUGAGUGAAAACAAUAUUG
Molecule: non-coding RNA, 144 nt
Organism: Myotis brandtii (Brandt's bat)
Lineage: Eukaryota; Metazoa; Chordata; Mammalia; Chiroptera; Vespertilionidae
Source: Rfam